This 63-nucleotide transfer RNA is filed under the name Epeurysa nawaii. RNAcentral's name for it is "tRNA-Ala". The record is from RNAcentral. Lineage: Eukaryota; Metazoa; Arthropoda; Insecta; Hemiptera; Delphacidae.
GGGAGAAUAGUUAAAAAUAACAUUUAAAUUGCAAUUAAAAAUUACAUAAAUUUGUUUCUCUUA